This is a long non-coding RNA of Hippopotamus amphibius kiboko, 4656 nucleotides long. RefSeq lists it as uncharacterized. The transcript has 4 exons. The record is from RefSeq and is a predicted model, not a curated record. Lineage: Eukaryota; Metazoa; Chordata; Mammalia; Artiodactyla; Hippopotamidae.
CAGCGCGGCUUCCGUGGACCGUUCCCCUCAGUGACGAGAGAACAUGGCGGCCCCCCGUCCGGACAUCUCAGAAGUUCUGUCUGCCCACAGGCAAGUCUUCUUGCAGAUUUGUACACUCGCCAUGUCCUGCAGGACCUGUGGUGGAAAAGUCCAGUACUGGUCAGCCUCUGGGCCUGUGAAGAGAAGAGAGUGGACCUGGGACCAGCUGUCCUGAGCACCUAGACAAAGUAGCAGACAGCAGCAAGAUGGGCUGGAUUGUCGUGUUGAACGUGAACGUCGCGAAGGCAGAGGUGGUCCUGCUUGGGGGCCUGUUUUCCUAUUGUGACCCAAUGGAUGUGGAGGGCCAGCGCAUUACCUCUGGAGUUACUCCAGCAUCUCCGUGGAAACCACAGAACUAAAGACAGCCCAGGACCCCAGGCUUUUCCUUGCUCUGAGCAACGUUCUGCGCUGGUCAACUUGGACCCCUUCCGUGGAGGCUGACGUGGCUGCGCACCCGCACCUGUGAGGACUUUGUAGGGUGUGAACCUGUGCAGGCCAGAGGGUGCCUGUUCCCUGGCAGUGCCAGAAAGGUCUCUACUCUUUCCUUUUCUGUAUAAAUGACUUUUUUCUGUGUGGUGAUUCAUUUAGCAACAUUCAGGUGAAGGAUCUUCCUGGAGCAGGGAUCGAAGGCGUUGUCCCCUGCACUGGCAGGCGGAUUCUCAACCACUGUGCCACCUAGGAAGCCUCCAAAAGGAGGUUUUUCUAAUUGGUGGCAGCCUCAAGAUUUUGGACUCUUGAGCAGUGAGAAGGGGACACUGCUCAGUAUGUCGGAUGGGACCUGGCUCUCUGUGCUUCCCCAGGUGUGCAUUCCUAGGCCUGCCUUGUCACUUAGCCUCCUGAGGCAUGUAUCUGAUGCAUGUGUUCUCUCUGGUGGGAAUGAUAAUGUGCUGUAAGUUCUUGGUAUGACGUUUUCCGUAUCGACCUCGUGUUUGCCCCUUGUGUACGUGGGUGACAGGAAGAGAAUGGAUCAUAUUGAGCACUCUAGGGCAAGGCCUUUGAAACAGAGUGUCUUCCUUUUUAUCCUGGUUCCCUGUAAUAUGCAGGCGGUAGCCUCACGGGGCAGCAGCAGUCAUUUGAGAGGCAUGUUAGCCUCCUGGAAAUGUUGAUGGUGGUGGGGGCCAUGGUGGUGGUUGAGGUAGUGGUGAUGCUAAGAAGAAAAUAGCCACAGCUACCACGGAUCCAAAACUGAAUGGAACUAAGAACUGUCCUCCGUUCUUUUCACUGGUGUAUUACCGCAUGGUCUCAAACCGUGUGAUUUGAGUACAACAUAUAAUGUAAAUAGAUAACUCUCUAUUUGGCAGAGGACCUUCAUGAUGUACAGAAUGGCUCAUUACUUUGCUAUGGUAACAGAGGCGAGUCAAACUGUAUAGGGGGCAUUAGAGCUGGCUUAGCUGGCCCCAUAUCUUGUGAUGUUCAUCACUAAGCUGCAAGAAGCGUUCUUAAGUAACAUUUUCUUGCUUGAGAAAUCAGUGGUUUUCCACCCCUCCAUCUCCGUUGCAUUUCUAGUCCAUAUGGUUACCCAGAGGCCGCACAGUGUGCCUUUGCAUUAGUAGAAAUAAGUGGUAAUGAAAAUGGUCUCCCAAUGUGGGAGAACACAUAUUGAAUGCAACGGAUUUCCUGGCUGACUGGCCAGCCAGUUUGAUUGUCUGUUCUUUUGGAGAGAGACUUGCAGAGGUUACAGGGUCAGGUGAGGGGAGGAGCUCUUCUGAUCAGGAAAGAUGGAAUGGCAUAUAGGAUAUGGUCCCUCCUUCAGAGGCCUGCCGUCUGCAGGUAGGGAGAGGACAGGGAAGAGCAGCACAGGAUGUAGCUGCUCAUAGAGAUGGAGGACAAGGGACUGCAGUGUGAACGGUAUGAGAAGCUUCGCGUUUUCAAGGAAGUGUUUCCUUCCCUUCUACAUUCCUGGUGCUGCUUGGGCUCUGCCUAGCAUGGGCACCGAAGAUAGUACACACUGUUGUGUGUGAUGUAAGAAUAAAUUUCCUUUUGGCAAAGGUGAGACUUUUUUUGAUGGGGGCUGUUUCCUAGUUUCCAGCCUUCAUGGGAAUGUUCCACUUCACUUUAGGAAAUGCUUGUAUUCCUGCUUUAUUCUCUGUGCUGCCUCUAGCUGUGAAAAGUAGCCCCGGAAAUGUGCCCUUUCCCCCUCCUCUGCUGUGGCCUGGUUCAGUAAUCUGAGGGAGUCUCCCGGGAGGCACCUGCUGAUGUUGAAUUCUUCUGGUGAAUAAUCGCACUACUUGAGUUUGCCACUCUGCUUUUCCUGCUGAGAGUGAGCUGUGUUCCACAGAGAGGCUAGUGAACGUGAGCUUCUGUUGCUGGUAGGUGUUUCUGAUGUCCCAGCCAGACUCUUCUUCCUUCCACACUCCCCCGGCUCAGAUGCCUCGCCAACUCCUAAAGAAAGUGUGUACUGGCAAUGGCGGCAUCCGGGGCGUGGGAAAUGUUGGGUCCUGGGUGGAUGUUGGCCGUGGCCUGUUGUCAGGCUUCUGUGCCCCUCUGCAGAGCAAGGGCGUGUUGGGAACCCAGGCGAAUCCUGACUCUCUGUGAGGGAACGUGAUUGGGUUUUAUGCCAGCCUGGCCACAUUGACUUCCAGCAAACUUCUUCUGAGCACACUCUGCACGAUGCUUGGAAGAAAGAGGUCACGUGGGUCCUGUCAAUGAUCCCUAUGUGAAGCCGGGGCCAUUUGGAUCCUCCGGGGCAGGUGCAGAUGAGCCUGCGUGUCCAGGAACCUGCUGGGUGAGGUGUCCAGGCUGGAGGAUGAAGCCCUCCUCUUCCCCUUGGUGAAGAGGGCCUACAGCCCCAGGCGGUAGCUGUCCCUUCCCCUGUCUGUCUGCUGGAAAGCGUUGCUGCUUGGUGGUCUGGCCUCUCACCAUUUUUGUCUUCCUCUAUUGGGAGGCGGGUGACAUUGUCUCAAGGGCACCUUGUCUACGAGCCCUCUCAAGGAAGAGGGUGUUUUCCACACGGCAGUGUGUGGGGGGAUUAUGCAUCGUGUGUGGUGAUGGCCUACUGGAGGGGGAGAGGAUAGGGGUGUUGAGUUUGGGAGAAGGGGGGUGCUGUGGUUUCCCCAUUUCAGGCUUUUCUUUCUCUUCAGUAGCGAAGUCUCUUCCCAGAGGGGAUACGAGGAGGCUCUGAGAGUAUAAGGAAACAUUGAGUGGGGAGGACCAGGGGCUUUGGUGUGAGAAUUGUGGUGGACGUGGUGGGUUCAGGGGAUGGCUCCCGUCCCCUUGCCCCAUUCCCUCACACUACCUUUGGGUGGCCAUGGCUGUGUCAUAGGAGAUAGCAAAGCACAGGAUGCAUGUGAAGUGAGAAAUGUCUCACCUUGUGAAGCUGCGACCUUAAUAUUGGGAGCAGGUCCUCAGCUUUCAUUUUCCAGUGAACUGUGGGCCUCUCUGCCCGGAGGAAGUAUUGGUGUCUCUGCCGAUUCCUGUGCACUGCAGGUGCUUAUGUUGAUGUUUUUUUCCCCCGAGGUGUCUUCCUCUUUCCUGUAGUGUUGUGGGCUCUUGGGCACUGCUUAUGGGGUUCAUUUUAUGAUCUAGCAGAGUAUAGCUGAGUUUCUGUUCUCUGCUACCUAAAUUGUUCCCUCUUUAACUAGUUCUCACCCAUGACAAGGAUAUUUGCUGCCAGGUCCUUGAGGGAACAUUCCUGGGUUUUCACAUUGGCAAGAAGCAUUUUUAGUUUCUAAAAAAGAUGUUCCUCUUUCCUGUAGCUUUAUGGGCUCUUGGGCACUGCUUAUGGUGUUCAUUUCGUGUUCUUCAGGAGGGUCUAGCUGAGUUUCUGGUCUCAGCUGCCUAAGUUGUUCCCUCUUUAGCUAGUUCUCACCCAUGACAAGGAUGAUUGCUACCAAGUCCUUGAAGGAACAUUCCUGGGUUUUCACAUUGACAAGAGGCUUACUGAGCUUUUAAAAAGAUUUGCAUACAUUGCAAAGAGGCAGAGAAAGAACUGACACAUUUUCCAGAGUAAAUCCUCUAAGAAAAGGGAGGGAUGGAAGCCUGCUGUCUGUUUUGAACAGCGACAAUUAAAGCAUUCUCUUUUUUUUAAGAUGCUUUUUAUGGGAAGCAUUUUUAAAGUUCUUAUUGAAUUUGCAAUCAUGUUGCUUCUGUUUAAGUUUUGGUUUUUUGGCCAGGAAGCAUGUGGGAUCUUAGCUCCCCGACCAGGGAUGGGACACGAGCCUUCUUCAUUGGAAGACAACGUCUUAACCCCUGGAUCGCCAGGGAAGUCCCAAAUCUUUGUUUCUGAGUUGUCGUACUUUGUAUUUGUCCUCCAAAUGCUACCAUGAGAUACCAGGUCCCCCCAGGUGUCUGCCCCCCACAAAUGGUGGUUCCUGAGUCCUGGCCAAAGGCAGGCCUGUGCAGGGAACUUCCUUAAGUGGAACUUGUGCCAAUGGUACCUCAAGGAAAAGGAAUAAGUAGGGGUCAUUGUUCACCCUUCGUCUUCCAUAUGCUUUUACCAAUACCUGUACUCUUAUGGCAAGUUCUCUGUGGUCAAUUGGAGUAAGCAAUGCAACCUCAGGCCUUGUGUACAUAUGAUUUCAUUUGCUAACGUCUUGGCAAGUGGAGAUGUACUGUACUCUCAUGUCUUCCCUUUCCUGAGUGUCUUGGAGGAACAAACCCAGUUGGCAAAGGAAUCUG